This 84-nucleotide transfer RNA is filed under the name Ignavibacteriota bacterium. RNAcentral describes it as "Ignavibacteriae bacterium (activated sludge metagenome) tRNA-Leu". It matches the Rfam family "tRNA". From Rfam's summary of the family: Transfer RNA (tRNA) molecules are approximately 80 nucleotides in length. Their secondary structure includes four short double-helical elements and three loops (D, anti-codon, and T loops). The record is from RNAcentral. Lineage: Bacteria; Pseudomonadati; Ignavibacteriota. RNAcentral also lists the same sequence under 4 other names.
ACGGGAGUGGCGAAACUGGCAGACGCGCUGUCUUGAGGGGGCAGUGACCUUAAGGUCGUGUGGGUUCAAAUCCCAUCUCUCGUA